RNAcentral lists this long non-coding RNA (389 nucleotides) under Solanum tuberosum (potato). RNAcentral describes it as "long non-coding RNA (STUB_LNC008311)". The record is from RNAcentral. Lineage: Eukaryota; Viridiplantae; Streptophyta; Magnoliopsida; Solanales; Solanaceae.
GUCUAUGAACUUAAGUAAUACUAAUAGAUUAUAUUAAAAUUUGUGGAUACGAACAUCCAUAUUAACUAUCCAUUGUGAUUAAGGACAAAAUGAAUUUGGCUUUACUGGUUUCAUGAUACCAUAUGGUGACCUAUUCCAAAUGUACAAUGCUGCAAGUGAAAAUUACAUGAAUUAAAAAUACUACUCAAGGCACCCAUUCGAGAGCUGAGCAAGAUGCUCUUCAGUAUCAGUAAAAAAAAUAAAACAAUUGUAGUCCGCCACAAAGAUUGUGAGAGUAAUUGGUGAUAUAGUACUCUCUCAUCAGCCCUUAUAAACGCCUGAAGGAUCAACAUUCUGCACAAUCCAAGCAUGCUCAAGUACCUUUUUCAUCUGUAUCCCACAAACAUGAA